CAGCAUCUCUUGCCAUCUCGCCUCUCUUCCCAGUUCAACAGUCUUGGACAACUCGAGAAAUUCAGGUUGGCCAGGAAGGCUACAGAAGCCGACCCUGGAUGACUUAAAUAAAAAAAGAAGAGUGAAUUGAAUGAAUGCGUCAAUUCACAGUCAUGAUGGCAAAACCGAAGAACAGGUUGAGAGGAUGGUCGGAGCCAUGGGAGAGAAAGGCGGUCAGAAUCACAACACAAAUCAGACCACAGUGCAGCCUGAGACAUCAGAAAGAAUCUCUACUGCUCUCGCUUCUCUGUCGCCGCCUCCAGAGUCAAAGCCCCAGGGGAAACAGCCAACUGGCCCCAGUUCCCAUGAAGUGAGGUAGGGUAAGACAAUUUGCCUUUUUUUUUUUUUACCUUCUGGAAUGAGAGA
RNAcentral lists this long non-coding RNA (405 nucleotides) under Sus scrofa (pig). RNAcentral describes it as "lncRNA (ENSSSCG00025042905.1)". The record is from RNAcentral. Lineage: Eukaryota; Metazoa; Chordata; Mammalia; Artiodactyla; Suidae.